RNAcentral lists this ribosomal RNA (301 nucleotides) under uncultured bacterium. RNAcentral's name for it is "partial 16S ribosomal RNA". It matches the Rfam family "Bacterial small subunit ribosomal RNA", at positions 509 to 807 of the family's 1533-position model. The record is from RNAcentral.
CAGUCGCCGCGGGAAUACAGAGGGUGCGAGCGUUAAUCGGAUUUACUGGGCGUAAAGCGUGCGUAGGCGUCUUCUUAAGUCGGAUGUGAAAUCCCUGAGCUUAACUUAGGAAUUGCAUUCGAUACUGGGAAGCUAGAGUAUGGGAGAGGAUGGUAGAAUUCCAGGUGUAGCGGUGAAAUGCGUAGAGAUCUGGAGGAAUACCGAUGGCGAAGGCAGCCAUCUGGCCUAAUACUGACGCUGAGGUACGAAAGCAUGGGGAGCAAACAGGAUUAGAUACCCCUGUAGUCCCUGUCUCUUAUAC